GAUUAUAGAUACCUACAACCAGUAUAAAGAACUGUGGCAUUCAAGGGCUCUACAUGUAAGAUUGCAAAUAUGUUCUGUAGCAGUAAACCCACUCCUUCCCCAACAUUACUCUGAAUCUGCAGGUGAGAAUGUUCUUAGCAAAGCUAGGAACCAGCCACCUGUUUUGAAGUCAGUCACCGUGCAAGUGUCUCCGGUAGAGCUACAGAUAAUGUAACUGCUGACAGUGGAAUACAUUAACUGCUUGCUAUAAAAGUAUGCUACU
Long non-coding RNA from Pogoniulus pusillus (Red-fronted tinkerbird), 262 nucleotides. RefSeq lists it as uncharacterized. The record is from RefSeq and is a predicted model, not a curated record. Lineage: Eukaryota; Metazoa; Chordata; Aves; Piciformes; Lybiidae. The transcript has 3 exons.